ACUUCUGUAGGACAGAAGUAAUCCACUGGUUUUAGGAACCACCUUUCCUUGGUGCAACUCCAAGCAGAAGUU
Molecule: non-coding RNA, 72 nt
Organism: Monopterus albus (swamp eel)
Lineage: Eukaryota; Metazoa; Chordata; Actinopteri; Synbranchiformes; Synbranchidae
Source: Ensembl